This 329-nucleotide long non-coding RNA is filed under the name Mytilus galloprovincialis (Mediterranean mussel). Lineage: Eukaryota; Metazoa; Mollusca; Bivalvia; Mytilida; Mytilidae. The record is from RNAcentral.
AUUUUGGGGGUUAUGGUGCCAACAGUUUAGGAAUUAAGGACCAAAAAGAGACCAAAAACAAGCAUUUUUGUAGUUUUUGGACAAUAACUUGUGUGUAAGUUUAUGGAUCUCUCUCACAUUGUUCCAAAAGGUUCCAUAUCACUAAAAGAAGGCUGGUAUUGAGUUUGGGGGUAAUUGCCCAAUUCAUGCAGGAAUUAGGGGCCAAAAAAGGGCAAAAAAAAGCAUUUUUCUAGUUUUGAGACAAUAACUUGUGUUUAAGCGUAUGGAUCUCUCUGAAAUUGUACUACAAGGUUCCAUACUAGAAAGGAAAGUCUGGGAUGCAAUGUGGG